GGGGGCAUAGCUCAGUGGUAGAGCAUCCGACUGCAGAUCGGAUUGUCCCCGGCUUAAACCCGGGUGCUCCCU
This 72-nucleotide transfer RNA is filed under the name Daphnia galeata. It matches the Rfam family "tRNA". Rfam says of the family: Transfer RNA (tRNA) molecules are approximately 80 nucleotides in length. Their secondary structure includes four short double-helical elements and three loops (D, anti-codon, and T loops). Lineage: Eukaryota; Metazoa; Arthropoda; Branchiopoda; Diplostraca; Daphniidae. The record is from Rfam by way of RNAcentral.